This 253-nucleotide ribosomal RNA is filed under the name uncultured bacterium. RNAcentral describes it as "partial 16S ribosomal RNA". It matches the Rfam family "Bacterial small subunit ribosomal RNA", at positions 524 to 776 of the family's 1533-position model. The record is from RNAcentral.
UACAGAGGUCUCAACCGUUGUUCGGAUUCAUUGGGCGUAAAGGGUGCGUAGGCGGUCGCGCAAGUCGGAUGUGAAAUCUCAGGGCUCAACCCUGAAACUGCAUUCGAUACUGCGUGGCUAGAGUGCUGGAGAGGAGACUGGAAUUUACGGUGUAGCAGUGAAAUGCGUAGAUAUCGUAAGGAAGACCAGUGGCGAAGGCGGAUCUCUGGGCCAGUACUGACACUGAGGAGCGAAAGCGUGGGUAGCAAACAGG